UACGUAGGAGGCGAGCGUUGUCCGGAGUUACUGGGCGUAAAGGGUGCGCAGGUGGCCGUGCGCGUGGGGAGUGAAAUCGCCUGGCUUAACUGGGCGGGGGCUUUCCAGACGGCGCGGCUUGAGCCGCAGAGGGGGGUGGAAUUCCACGUGUAGCAGUGAAAUGCGUAGAGAUGUGGAGGAACGCCGAUGGCGAAGGCAGCCCCCUGGGCUGAGAUUGACGCUCAGGCACGAAAGCGUGGGGAGCAAACAGG
This 251-nucleotide ribosomal RNA is filed under the name uncultured bacterium. RNAcentral's name for it is "partial 16S ribosomal RNA". It matches the Rfam family "Bacterial small subunit ribosomal RNA", at positions 524 to 776 of the family's 1533-position model. The record is from RNAcentral.